AGACCUUAGGUUAAACAAAACCCAAGAGCCCUUCAAAGCUCUAAACGUGGAUAUCAACUCCACAGUCUCUG
RNAcentral lists this transfer RNA (71 nucleotides) under Phyllopezus maranjonensis. Its description in RNAcentral is "tRNA-Trp". The record is from RNAcentral. Lineage: Eukaryota; Metazoa; Chordata; Lepidosauria; Squamata; Phyllodactylidae.